AGAGAGUUUCUUUCAGAAGUGGACUUAUCAAAGCAACAGUGCUGUUAAUCUGAAGAACAAUGGCAGAUACAAACCCAGAUAAAACCCCUCAGGUAACAGCUACACUUCUUUUCUUCUUUCCGACAUAUGUGCUAAUGAUAUGCAUGUGUACUGUACAUAUUAUAUACAUAUGUAACAAUAGCAUUAUAUGCUUUAAAAAUAUGAAACUCAUGUAUAUUUCUUCUGCAGUGCGAAAAGAGCAAACCAUGCCACGGUGAAGGCAAGGGAAAAGGACCAGGACAAGGGCAAGGUCAAGGCAAGGGUCAGGGUCAUGGUCACGGACACGGUCACGGACCUGGAAAGGAUGGAAAGGAUGGCAAAGGCAAACCAUAAUGAAAGGAGCUGAAUGAAGAGACGUCUGAAGUCUGUCUGAUGCUGUUGUUUUUUUUCUUGCACCAUGACUAAUAAACUAAAACAUGUAUAAUUAUACCACAUAUGUUUGUUUUUAAUUAAAUGAUCAUCAAUAAAGUGUUUGGUAUCAAAGAAUGGCUUUUAGAAUCGUUGACUCCUUAAGCUUUGAAAUUCCAAAUAUAAAACGAAAUGAAGUAGCUGUGGCAAGGUGUGCAAGUUUACACAGCAAGAAGGUGUAUAUGCUGAAACAAUGUUAAAUCAGGAAAUAAG
Long non-coding RNA from Ictalurus punctatus (channel catfish), 660 nucleotides. Lineage: Eukaryota; Metazoa; Chordata; Actinopteri; Siluriformes; Ictaluridae. The record is from Ensembl.